GUGGGGAAUCUUAGACAAUGGGGGCAACCCUGAUCUAGCCAUGCCGCGUGAGUGAUGAAGGCCUUAGGGUCGUAAAGCUCUUUCAGUGGGGACGAUAAUGACGGUACCCACAGAAGAAGCCCCGGCUAACUUCGUGCCAGCAGCCGCGGUAAUACGAAGGGGGCUAGCGUUGUUCGGAUUUACUGGGCGUAAAGCGCACGUAGGCGGAUCGUUAAGUCGGGGGUGAAAUCCUGGAGCUCAACUCCAGAACUGCCUUCGAUACUGGCGAUCUUGAGUCCGGAAGAGGUGAGUGGAACUCCUAGUGUAGAGGUGGAAUUCGUAGAUAUUAGGAAGAACACCAGUGGCGAAGGCGGCUCACUGGUCCGGUACUGACGCUGAGGUGCGAAAGCGUGGGGAGCAAACAGGAUUAGAAACCCGGGUAGUCC
RNAcentral lists this ribosomal RNA (425 nucleotides) under uncultured bacterium. RNAcentral's name for it is "bacterial SSU rRNA". It matches the Rfam family "Bacterial small subunit ribosomal RNA", at positions 354 to 796 of the family's 1533-position model. The record is from RNAcentral.